UUUUUCAUCAUAAUUUUAUUGAAAAUGUACAUAAAUGGAAUCAAACUACAAUCACAUAUUUUAUCAUUAAUUUGUGGUGUGGACAGGUAAUUGACUAGGAGGGGUGAUUAUGGCAGAUGCUAGAAAAAUGUAUGGCAAUUUCUUACAACAAAAUGUAACUUUACACAGAGAGAAGAGUCACAUCCAAAGAUCAUAUUUCAUAAAACAGGUCUCCACUUCCAUACACAAAAUAUAUCCUUAUAAAUUAUACAAAUGCAUGAGUAUCUAUCUGUAUCUAGGAUUCAACUCCAUCUCAUUGUAAUAUUUGGCAAUAUGGGUGCCGGAAAUUGUGGAGAGGGGUAUAACUGCACAUAACAACUAGUAAUACACAAGAUUAAACUGGUCCAAACAAUAGAGCAUCAAAUGUGAAAGAGUGCAAAACUGUUAGGGGAGAAAACUACAAUGGGGAGCAAAAGGUCAAGAUCACAGAGGUGAUGAAAGAAAAAGACAUGCAAAAUACAGAAUAGACUGAUGGUAGUUCAAGCACAAUGCGUAAAAGGGCAUUAAAUGCGACCUACAUGGCAUUUCAGUACGGAAAAGGUGUUUUCACUAAAUAAGUGCUUGACAUGAACAUGUCUUUGGCUCUUCUGAUUUCCAAUGAAACAACCUAUGCAGUGAACAAAGAAUACUGUAUUUAUUUGGAUCGCAAUUGUCCUAUGGUUUUUAAAUCCGUAUUGACAAAAGUUUCUACUACUCACACGCAAGGUAAGACGUCGCACUAUCAAUCACCAAAUAAAUAUGGCGGGUUUAUCAGUGCUUUAUUGAGAUCUGGGUUGUGCUAUUUGUAUUCAUAGGGGCUCCCGAGUAGUGCAGCAGUCUAAGGCCCUGCAUCACAGUGCUAGAGGUGUCACUACAGAACCUGGUUCAAUUCCAGGCUGUAUCACAAUUGGCCGUGAUUGGGAGUCCCAUAGGGCGGCGCACAAUUGGCCCAGCGUCGUCCGGGUUAGGCUAUGGCCGGGGUAGGC
Long non-coding RNA from Oncorhynchus tshawytscha (Chinook salmon), 1004 nucleotides. The record is from Ensembl. Lineage: Eukaryota; Metazoa; Chordata; Actinopteri; Salmoniformes; Salmonidae.